Molecule: ribosomal RNA, 2904 nt
Filed under: Escherichia coli
Lineage: Bacteria; Pseudomonadati; Pseudomonadota; Gammaproteobacteria; Enterobacterales; Enterobacteriaceae
Description: 23S ribosomal RNA
Rfam family: Bacterial large subunit ribosomal RNA
Source: RNAcentral
UUAAGCGACUAAGCGUACACGGUGGAUGCCCUGGCAGUCAGAGGCGAUGAAGGACGUGCUAAUCUGCGAUAAGCGUCGGUAAGGUGAUAUGAACCGUUAUAACCGGCGAUUUCCGAAUGGGGAAACCCAGUGUGUUUCGACACACUAUCAUUAACUGAAUCCAUAGGUUAAUGAGGCGAACCGGGGGAACUGAAACAUCUAAGUACCCCGAGGAAAAGAAAUCAACCGAGAUUCCCCCAGUAGCGGCGAGCGAACGGGGAGGAGCCCAGAGCCUGAAUCAGUGUGUGUGUUAGUGGAAGCGUCUGGAAAGGCGCGCGAUACAGGGUGACAGCCCCGUACACAAAAAUGCACAUGCUGUGAGCUCGAUGAGUAGGGCGGGACACGUGGUAUCCUGUCUGAAUAUGGGGGGACCAUCCUCCAAGGCUAAAUACUCCUGACUGACCGAUAGUGAACCAGUACCGUGAGGGAAAGGCGAAAAGAACCCCGGCGAGGGGAGUGAAAAAGAACCUGAAACCGUGUACGUACAAGCAGUGGGAGCACGCUUCGGCGUGUGACUGCGUACCUUUUGUAUAAUGGGUCAGCGACUUAUAUUCUGUAGCAAGGUUAACCGAAUAGGGGAGCCGAAGGGAAACCGAGUCUUAACUGGGCGUUAAGUUGCAGGGUAUAGACCCGAAACCCGGUGAUCUAGCCAUGGGCAGGUUGAAGGUUGGGUAACACUAACUGGAGGACCGAACCGACUAAUGUUGAAAAAUUAGCGGAUGACUUGUGGCUGGGGGUGAAAGGCCAAUCAAACCGGGAGAUAGCUGGUUCUCCCCGAAAGCUAUUUAGGUAGCGCCUCGUGAAUUCAUCUCCGGGGGUAGAGCACUGUUUCGGCAAGGGGGUCAUCCCGACUUACCAACCCGAUGCAAACUGCGAAUACCGGAGAAUGUUAUCACGGGAGACACACGGCGGGUGCUAACGUCCGUCGUGAAGAGGGAAACAACCCAGACCGCCAGCUAAGGUCCCAAAGUCAUGGUUAAGUGGGAAACGAUGUGGGAAGGCCCAGACAGCCAGGAUGUUGGCUUAGAAGCAGCCAUCAUUUAAAGAAAGCGUAAUAGCUCACUGGUCGAGUCGGCCUGCGCGGAAGAUGUAACGGGGCUAAACCAUGCACCGAAGCUGCGGCAGCGACGCUGAUGCGUUGUUGGGUAGGGGAGCGUUCUGUAAGCCUGUGAAGGUGUACUGUGAGGUAUGCUGGAGGUAUCAGAAGUGCGAAUGCUGACAUAAGUAACGAUAAAGCGGGUGAAAAGCCCGCUCGCCGGAAGACCAAGGGUUCCUGUCCAACGUUAAUCGGGGCAGGGUGAGUCGACCCCUAAGGCGAGGCCGAAAGGCGUAGUCGAUGGGAAACAGGUUAAUAUUCCUGUACUUGGUGUUACUGCGAAGGGGGGACGGAGAAGGCUAUGUUGGCCGGGCGACGGUUGUCCCGGUUUAAGCGUGUAGGCUGGUUUUCCAGGCAAAUCCGGAAAAUCAAGGCUGAGGCGUGAUGACGAGGCACUACGGUGCUGAAGCAACAAAUGCCCUGCUUCCAGGAAAAGCCUCUAAGCAUCAGGUAACAUCAAAUCGUACCCCAAACCGACACAGGUGGUCAGGUAGAGAAUACCAAGGCGCUUGAGAGAACUCGGGUGAAGGAACUAGGCAAAAUGGUGCCGUAACUUCGGGAGAAGGCACGCUGAUAUGUAGGUGAGGUCCCUCGCGGAUGGAGCUGAAAUCAGUCGAAGAUACCAGCUGGCUGCAACUGUUUAUUAAAAACACAGCACUGUGCAAACACGAAAGUGGACGUAUACGGUGUGACGCCUGCCCGGUGCCGGAAGGUUAAUUGAUGGGGUUAGCCGCAAGGCGAAGCUCUUGAUCGAAGCCCCGGUAAACGGCGGCCGUAACUAUAACGGUCCUAAGGUAGCGAAAUUCCUUGUCGGGUAAGUUCCGACCUGCACGAAUGGCGUAAUGAUGGCCAGGCUGUCUCCACCCGAGACUCAGUGAAAUUGAACUCGCUGUGAAGAUGCAGUGUACCCGCGGCAAGACGGAAAGACCCCGUGAACCUUUACUAUAGCUUGACACUGAACAUUGAGCCUUGAUGUGUAGGAUAGGUGGGAGGCUUUGAAGUGUGGACGCCAGUCUGCAUGGAGCCGACCUUGAAAUACCACCCUUUAAUGUUUGAUGUUCUAACGUUGACCCGUAAUCCGGGUUGCGGACAGUGUCUGGUGGGUAGUUUGACUGGGGCGGUCUCCUCCUAAAGAGUAACGGAGGAGCACGAAGGUUGGCUAAUCCUGGUCGGACAUCAGGAGGUUAGUGCAAUGGCAUAAGCCAGCUUGACUGCGAGCGUGACGGCGCGAGCAGGUGCGAAAGCAGGUCAUAGUGAUCCGGUGGUUCUGAAUGGAAGGGCCAUCGCUCAACGGAUAAAAGGUACUCCGGGGAUAACAGGCUGAUACCGCCCAAGAGUUCAUAUCGACGGCGGUGUUUGGCACCUCGAUGUCGGCUCAUCACAUCCUGGGGCUGAAGUAGGUCCCAAGGGUAUGGCUGUUCGCCAUUUAAAGUGGUACGCGAGCUGGGUUUAGAACGUCGUGAGACAGUUCGGUCCCUAUCUGCCGUGGGCGCUGGAGAACUGAGGGGGGCUGCUCCUAGUACGAGAGGACCGGAGUGGACGCAUCACUGGUGUUCGGGUUGUCAUGCCAAUGGCACUGCCCGGUAGCUAAAUGCGGAAGAGAUAAGUGCUGAAAGCAUCUAAGCACGAAACUUGCCCCGAGAUGAGUUCUCCCUGACUCCUUGAGAGUCCUGAAGGAACGUUGAAGACGACGACGUUGAUAGGCCGGGUGUGUAAGCGCAGCGAUGCGUUGAGCUAACCGGUACUAAUGAACCGUGAGGCUUAACCUU